AAAUAAUAACCGUCUUUGCCAUUUCUUCACGAUUGACUCCAUCAUUUUCAACGUCAGCAACAGUUACUGUUCAGGCAGGUGCUUAGUGUUAAUCGACCUUUACAUAUAUGUGUAAAUUAUGGUAUCGGUAAAUCUUUUAUAUAAAUUAUCACUCUGUAAAAGUGAAUGUAAUCAUUGUUUAAUAUAUAAAAUCGGAUGUUGUUAAUAUCCUGUUAGAUCGACGGAAGGACAGAAACAGCACACAUUCAUAAACGGGGUAAAUUAUUUUCUAUAUCUUUUACAUUUUUCGCUAAAGAGUUCUCUAAGAUGCUACAGAUCAGUUUGUUUGACUAAAACAGAUCGGUAUGUUUGUCCUUCUUUUUUCUUUAAAAAAAUGUUUUACCAUAUUUCAGACGUCUUUUUUUUUUAUUUGGCAAAAUAGGAUUCUAAAUUCUUUGUAAAGCUAGAUGGAUUCCAUUGUAGUAAAUAAUUGAUAUUGUAACUGGCAAUUUUAAAACAAUUAUUUUAAGCCCUCGAUCACCGAGUAUGAUGCCGGUUAAAAUAAACGUAACAUUUAUACUAAAUAAAAUUGAGAAUGGAAAGUGGGGAAUUUGUCAAAGCGACAACAACCCGACCAUAGAGCAGACAACAGCCGAAGGCCAACAAUGGAUCUACAAUGUAGCGAAAAACUCCCGCACCCGGAGGCGUCCUUCAGCUGGUCCCUAAACAAAUAUGUACACUAGUUCAGUGAUCAUGGACGUCAUUCUAAACUCCGAAUUAUACACAAGAAAUUAAAGUUAAAAAUCAUACAACACAACAAAGACCAGAGGCUCCUGACUUGGGACAGGCGCAAAAUUGCGGCGGGGUUAAACAUGUUUAAACAUCUCAACCCUCCCCCUAUACCUCUAGCCUAUGUAGAAAAAACAAACGUAAAACAAUACGCACAGUAAAACUCACUUUAACAGAGUCUGAUGUCAGAAUAUGAAACAAAAGAAAAUAAACAAAAUAUCUCGCAGUUGAUGCAAUAUUUCAGAGCUUGCGUAUCUUACAUGUCGAGGCCCUGCACACUACCUGUUGUUAUUGGUCCAGCGACUUUGAAUGAAUUACCAAUGUUGCUGUACAUCAUAUUGUGUUUUUCUGAAUUUUAUGCCGACAGGCGAGACAUAUAUCGGUGUCAACAGUUUAUUUGAUAUUUUAUCUAUGCAAUUGGUAUAGUUAUAAACCGAGCAGAACAAACUAAAUACUGGUAAAACAUAUUGUUGUUGCUGCCCUAUUGUGAUAAUGAUUGAUAACGACAGAAUAUUAAACACAUAGUGUCACAUGAUUGUUAUUCGUUUCAGGUACUAAUUUCUGAGAAUGAAAAUACAUAUAAUUGUACUACUAUUGUCCAUAGUACAAUCCUCUGACCAGUGUGAUUGUAAGGAUGACUCUAUUUACAUCAAUGGGGAAGAAAUUUCUGGGAACUUAUGUUCAGCAGAAACAAGUAAGUUGUUAGUGUCGAUUACGGGCUUUAUAAAAAAAAAUCUAAAAUAUAUGAAAGGAGGGAACCAGAUAAGUACGUC
This 1541-nucleotide long non-coding RNA is filed under the name Mytilus galloprovincialis (Mediterranean mussel). Lineage: Eukaryota; Metazoa; Mollusca; Bivalvia; Mytilida; Mytilidae. The record is from RNAcentral.